ACAUGCAAGUCGAACGGAGAUUAUUUCGAUAAUCUUAGUGGCGAACGGGUGAGCAACGCGUGGGCAACCUGCCCUCUAGAUGGGGACAACAUCCCGAAAGGGGUGCUAAUACCGAAUGUGACAGCAAUCUCGCAUGAGGAUGCUGUGAAAGAUGGCCUCUAUUUAUAAGCUAUCGCUAGAGGAUGGGCCUGCGUCUGAUUAGCUAGUUGGUGGGGUAACGGCCUACCAAGGCGAUGAUCAGUAGCCGGUCUGAGAGGAUGAACGGCCACAUUGGGACUGAGACACGGCCCAGACUCCUACGGGAGGCAGCAGUGGGGAAUCUUCCGCAAUGGGCGAAAGCCUGACGGAGCAAUGCCGCGUGAGUGAUGAAGGGAUUCGUUCCGUAAAGCUCUUUUGUUUAUGACGAAUGUGCAGGUUGUGAAUAAUGACUUGUAAUGACGGUAGUAAACGAAUAAGCCACGGCUAACUACGUGCCAGCAGCCGCGGUAAUACGUAGGUGGCGAGCGUUGUCCGGAAUUAUUGGGCGUAAAGAGCAUGUAGGCGGUUUUUUAAGUCUGGAGUGAAAAUGCGGGGCUCAACCCCGUAUGGCUCUGGAUACUGGAAGACUUGAGUGCAGGAGAGGAAAGGGGAAUUCCCAGUGUAGCGGUGAAAUGCGUAGAUAUUGGGAGGAACACCAGUGGCGAAGGCGCCUUUCUGGACUGUGUCUGACGCUGAGAUGCGAAAGCCAGGG
Molecule: ribosomal RNA, 730 nt
Filed under: uncultured bacterium
Lineage: Bacteria
Description: bacterial SSU rRNA
Rfam family: Bacterial small subunit ribosomal RNA
Source: RNAcentral